ACGUAGGGUGCAAGCGUUGUCCGGAAUUACUGGGUGUAAAGGGAGCGCAGGCGGGAAGACAAGUUGGAAGUGAAAACCAUGGGCUCAACCCAUGAAUUGCUUUCAAAACUGUUUUUCUUGAGUAGUGCAGAGGUAGAUGGAAUUCCCGGUGUAGCGGUGGAAUGCGUAGAUAUCGGGAGGAACACCAGUGGCGAAGGCGGUCUACUGGGCACCAACUGACGCUGAGGCUCGAAAGCAUGGGUAGCAAACAGGAUUAGAAACCCGAGU
Molecule: ribosomal RNA, 267 nt
Filed under: uncultured Subdoligranulum sp.
Lineage: Bacteria; Bacillati; Bacillota; Clostridia; Eubacteriales; Oscillospiraceae
Description: partial 16S ribosomal RNA
Rfam family: Bacterial small subunit ribosomal RNA
Source: RNAcentral